UCUAGUUUUGACACCUGAGUGUUGGGUGAUUGUGGGUGUGUGACACUUGUCAUGACUUCUAUUUGAGUCAUAAUUUGAGGCUAAAAAUGGCUGAUUCUAUUGGGCCUAGGUGUAUGUUCUUUAUGUCCAAAAGUUGGACCGCAAAAGGGCUGAUACAAAUGGGGCUUGUCUAUGGUUCUUAAUAUCCAAUUGUUGGAUAGCAAAUGGUCCAAUUGUUGAACAGCAAGAGGGCUAAGAGCUGAGAGGGAUUUACCUAUCCA
RNAcentral lists this long non-coding RNA (260 nucleotides) under Elaeis guineensis (African oil palm). Its description in RNAcentral is "long non-coding RNA (EGUI_LNC052739)". The record is from RNAcentral. Lineage: Eukaryota; Viridiplantae; Streptophyta; Magnoliopsida; Arecales; Arecaceae.